GACAGGGGAUGCAAGCGUCACUCGGAAUUACUGGGCGUAAAGCGUCUGCAGGCGUUCUCCCACGUCCGGCGUAAAAUCACGGAGCUUAACUCCGUGUUCGCGCUGGAAACGAGGAGGAUUGAGUUACUGAGAGGUAUCUGGAAUGCCGUGUGUAGGGGUAAAAUCCGUAGAUCCACGGUGGAACGCCAAAAGCGAAGGCAGGAUACUGGCAGUGUACUGACGCUCAGAGACGAAAGCGUGGGGAGCAAAGGGG
Molecule: ribosomal RNA, 253 nt
Filed under: uncultured bacterium
Lineage: Bacteria
Description: partial 16S ribosomal RNA
Rfam family: Bacterial small subunit ribosomal RNA
Source: RNAcentral